This 252-nucleotide ribosomal RNA is filed under the name uncultured bacterium. RNAcentral describes it as "partial 16S ribosomal RNA". It matches the Rfam family "Bacterial small subunit ribosomal RNA", at positions 30 to 289 of the family's 1533-position model. The record is from RNAcentral.
UUGAACGCUGGCGGCAUGCCUUACACAUGCAAGUCGAACGGUAGAGGGGCAACCCUUGAGAGUGGCGAACGGGUGAGUAAUGCAUCGGAACGUGCCCAGUCGUGGGGGAUAACGCAGCGAAAGCUGUGCUAAUACCGCAUGUGAUCUGUGGAUGAGAGCAGGGGACCGCAAGGCCUUGUGCGAUUGGAGCGGCCGAUGUCAGAUUAGCUAGUUGGUAGGGUAAAAGCCUACCAAGGCGACGAUCUGUAGCUG